This is a non-coding RNA of Bos taurus (domestic cattle), 72 nucleotides long. Lineage: Eukaryota; Metazoa; Chordata; Mammalia; Artiodactyla; Bovidae. The record is from Rfam.
UCCCUGGUGGCUCAGACGGUAAAGCGUCUGCCUGCAAUGCGGGAGACCCGGGUUCGAUUCCUGGGUUGGGAA